AUUGAAAAGCAAUUUCUUUGCCAAUUCAUUUGUCUAGUAUAUAGUUAUAUCUCUAUCCACAAUAUAUAUAUUGUGUUACUGUUCACAAGCCUUUGGGUCGGCUCACUCGCAAGCCAAAUUUUAGGCCGGCUCACCUAGUGGGGGAGGCAUUGGAAAUACAAAUAUCAGUGUGUGUUUGUUGCCUUGGAAAUACAGAAAUCUGAAAAAUCUUCUUCUUCUAUGUUCGAUUUUCAUUUUCAUUCUCAUUUUCGCUCGACAAAAGGAAACCCUAGCGCCGUUUAAUCUGUUCUCUUAGCAACAACCAUACUGCCGUGUCCUUCAACGAUAUGUUCUGACACAAAUCAUUCACCCUUCGCCUGACUCUGCGAAGAAGCGAGUUUUCUGCCAGUCUUUGUUAUUUUCUUCAACUUUAUUUAAGGUUGAUUUUGAUUGAACUUCACUUAUGCAAGCAGGAGCGAUGUUGGGCGAUGCUUUUCUUCACCAAUUGCCACAUGCUUUUGGUACAUAUGCAAAACAAGCUAAUGCCUAUGUUUUGUAAUUAAUUGAUGCUAAAAGUUCUGUUGUUUUCCUCACUUGUGAAUUAAAGCUUUUUUAUUUUUUAGUUGUUUAAUCUAAGCUAGUGUUCUAAUUCCAUUUCUUGGCAUAAAUAAAGUUUUGGUCAGUGAAUAGCCGUGCUGAAUGGAAAACUAAAAGAAAAAAUAGAAAAAUAUUAGGAAUGAAGUCGAAAUAGAGUUUUUUUCCUCUUCUUCUGGUUCGGAUAAAUAGGUAGUACCUGUAUGUCCCACAAAAUGUGUGAAUAAAAAGUGGUUUGACCGAUUAUAAAUUUAUAAACAUUAGCCAAACAUGGGCUAACACUUGUGCAAUGGGGGGUAUUGAAUUUUGAGACAAAUAAAUCACAUUCUGUUGCUGAAUGUACUAAAUAUCACCUUGACAAUACCUUUUAAUGAACUAAUUCUUUUCCAUAUGGCAUAAUAAACUUUGCUCAAUAUUGAAUAUUUUGUUGAUUCUAUACACCCAGAAAUGUUUUGUUCCCAUGACAAAAAAUAUAAUGCCCAUUAAAUAUUAUGUAAUAUUUAUAUUUCUUUCUUUUCUUUGGUGAUGUGAAGUAGAGAUGCAGGGAGAAUGGAUACUGCACCAACUUUAAUAAUUUUGAUUUGAAUAUGUUUACAGACCAUCACUUGUUUGUGAGCAAAAUUACAUGAGAUAUGAAAAUUAUGUGAAAGGAAACAAGAUAAUUUUUACUCUAAGAAGCUCAUGCUUUUGAUUGCUUUCUUCUUUACGUUCUCUUGUGAAUACGUAGUAUCACAAGACUUUACAAUAUUUUAAUUUCGAGCAACUUAAUAAAAAGUUAACGCAGAUUAUAUUAAUCAUUGACCACAAGUAGAAUGUCUCCUUAUGGAAAAGUUAGUAUGAGUCUGUGAUCUCAGUUUUUAGCAGUCAUGUAUAAUACAUAUUUUUUCUGCUGGUUUACGAGUGUGUGUUUCAUAUGUAGACCCCGUGUACCAAUUGAAUUAAGAUGUUAUGUUAACAUAGAUUUGUCAUAUGUUUUUUUAUAUAGCACGGUGGGACUUCAGCUGGUGAAACUGUUAAGUUAAUAAAUUUGUGCCUUGGAGAGAAGAUAUCAUUUUCUUUUCCUUUCUGGUCUCUACUUCCAGCUUGAUUUCCCGAUCUGAAGAAGCUACUUGAUUUUGCAAAAUAUAAUUCACUUUAUUGUACUUUGCUUUCAUACCUUUUAUUGUUUCUAUUUUAUUCCUGCAUGUGGUGAGCACUCCCAUUCUCAUGAUCACCAUGAUGAGAAUGCUCAUGGUCACAUACAUGUUGGAUAGUCGCAUUCACAUUCCUUGAAAGAUCUCUGUUGGAUUGUCAGUCUUGUGUAAGUAUAAUUAUGUGAGUUACAUGCUUUCCAUCUUUCCUAUCUCCCCACUGCCCUCCAGAAAAUAUUUUUUUAGCAUGUAUAGAAGCACAACUGUUGGUUUAUAUUGUCAUUAACCAUUCCUAUUACUAUAUUUGAUAGAUGUUCAGUAUAAUGUUGUUGAAGGCCAGGUUCUUAUUACUAGAGAAGGCUGUGAUGGAACAUGUGAAAAGAACACGAUAUUUGUUCUUUGUGGAAAUUUUGUAUAUCAUUCACCCGUUUUAUUCCUUUUACCAUAAGCAUUGUUCUUGCUCCAUAAUCAUGGCAUAGUAAAACUAUGGCAAGUAUAUCAUGAUUGUGAAACAUAGGGCUAUCAUGGCUGUGGUGGACUAUCAUUUAAGGCUUAAGCUGGGUGGAGUGUGGUUUCAAAUGCUUAAUGUAUCUAAGUUUUGGGCUUCUCGGAAGAAAUAAGGAUUGAAGUUUAGACUGUUCGUAUAAGGAGCUUCAAACAUUUUAGGAGCUCAAUAUUAUGGAAUUAGGCUUUGAAAGGCCCACGUCCGUUGUUUGGAUAUUCUCGUGAACUUCAAGUAAUUGCAAAGACAUCCAUCAGGCCCGUGCUUGGCAAUUUUUGAAAGAUAAAAAUAUCAUUGACCUGGGAAAAUCUUAAAUCAGGCAUACGGCACAUGAGACUACUUAAAUUAGUUUCAGCACAUCGUAAUGAUCAUCUGGCUGCCUCAUUAAGGUCCGUAUCCAAUAAACUAAAAGCAAAAGAGCCCUAGUUUGAGAGAGAGGAAGAAGAAUGCAGAACACAAGAAAGGAAGACAAAUCUAAUGCAGAUGUACACUACAUCGCUGAUCCAUAACUCAGAAAAUUUAUGGACAUAGCAAACUUCAUGUUUCUGGUCAGAUAAUCACCUAAAGUUUAUAAAGCCUCUUGUACCUUUAUUUAUAAACUUAUUCACAAAAAUGUGGCUACUCAGGAAUCAGGAUGUACCUAUAGUUUUAUUUCUACUAGGGUACGUCGUUCUUCUACAUCAUCUUCUAUUAAAUAUCUUUAAAAAAAACGAAUUUCUUUCUGAGAUCCCAACCGAGCAAGUUUUUACUAUUAGCUUUAUGUUCGAAGAGCUAAAAGGUUAUGAGCUAAGCCCAUGUAUGUUUAUGUGUAUUCCCACAGUUCAACGCACCUCAUUCCCAACAUCUCUACUUGUCUUACUACAUUUUGUUCAUUGUACAUAUUAACAUGUUAAUAUCCAUGUAACUAAGUAUGGCUUAUAAGUGCUACAUAUUACUACCCCCAAUGUAAGUACCUGUAAACAAAUAUUUUAUAUAAUCCAAUUUAAUCAUCAUUCAAAACAAGUUUCACUCUUAAUUCAAAUACUACAUAACGAAAUUAUAACACUAUUACUUACACUACAUCACCCACUAACACAUGUAACGCACGUGCCUUCACUAGUAUUCACAGUAAAAAAAUUUCUUUGGUUGAAAAAAUUAUGACCUAAUCAUAUUUCUCAUACUUCAGAAUGCACCUUGGAAGAGAACUCUUUCAGGUUGAUUCACAAAUCAGCGAUGCUGUUCUGAAACAACUUUGGCACCAUACAGAUGCUACUAUGUGCUGCUCUGUCCAAAUGAACAUUAGCGAACUUCUAGUACUUUUUUGUUGUAUUCACUUUACUGUUAUUGAUAAUGUGAUUUCUGUUCUAGGCAGCUGCAGUUUUCACAUUUGCAAACCAGGCCGGCCUUGACAUGCUAGAAACUACUCCGUUAGCCCUUAAAGAUAUAAUACUCGAGAAGAUUCUGGAUGAAGCAUUUUACACCACUGUACUAAGAUAAACCUCUUGGUGUUGGGAUUUGUGGAGCCUAAUUUCAAGUACAUUUUUUUCUUGGCAGCAAAUCAAAAUCAUGUAUGUGUUAUGAGAGUACUUUGAGAAAUUUGCCUGUGUACUAGGUCGUUUUAAUAUUUUUCUCCUAUAUAAAGAGUCUUAGAGCGAACCUCAAUUCUUUAUAUCUUUUUUUAUUCUUUCAUUUUUUCCUAUUUGCUCUUGGUAAUACAGCUCUUCUGUUUAAUCCAUAACAUCUAGUUAUAA
Molecule: long non-coding RNA, 3935 nt
Organism: Olea europaea var. sylvestris
Lineage: Eukaryota; Viridiplantae; Streptophyta; Magnoliopsida; Lamiales; Oleaceae
Exons: 2
Source: RefSeq, a predicted model, not a curated record